Molecule: ribosomal RNA, 809 nt
Filed under: uncultured bacterium
Lineage: Bacteria
Description: bacterial SSU rRNA
Rfam family: Bacterial small subunit ribosomal RNA
Source: RNAcentral
GCUAGACUGAUGGCGACCGGCGCACGGGUGCGUAACGCGUAUGCAACUUGCCUCACAGAGGGGGAUAACCCGUCGAAAGACGGACUAAUACCGCGUACACUCCAGUCUGGGCAUCCAGGCUAGAGGAAAUGAAAUUCGCUGUGAGAUAGGCAUGCGUCCCAUUAGCUAGUUGGUGAGGUAACGGCUCACCAAGGCAACGGUGGGUAGGGGAACUGAGAGGUUGAACCCCCACACUGGUACUGAGACACGGACCAGACUCCUACGGGAGGCAGCAGUGAGGAAUAUUGGUCAAUGGGCGAGAGCCUGAACCAGCCAAGUCGCGUGAAGGAUGACUGUCUUAUGGAUUGUAAACUUCUUUUGUAGGGGAAUAAAGAACAGUACGUGUACUGUAGUGAAUGUACCCUACGAAUAAGCAUCGGCUAACUCCGUGCCAGCAGCCGCGGUAAUACGGAGGAUGCGAGCGUUAUCCGGAUUUAUUGGGUUUAAAGGGUGCGUAGGCGGCCUGUUAAGUCAGCGGUGAAAUCUAGGGGCUUAACUCCUAAAUUGCCAUUGAUACUGGUGGGCUUGAGUGUAGAUGAGGUAGGCGGAAUGCGUGGUGUAGCGGUGGAAUGCAUAGAUAUCACGCAGAACUCCAAUUGCGAAGGCAGCUUACUAAGGUACAACUGGCGCUGAAGCACGAAAGCGUGGGUAUCAAACAGGAUUGGAUACCCUGGUAGUCCACGCAGUAAACGAUGAUAACUGGGCGUAUGCGAUAUACAGUAUGCUCCUAAGCGAAAGCGUUNAGUUAUCCACCUGGGGAGUACGCCCGC